Molecule: ribosomal RNA, 253 nt
Filed under: uncultured bacterium
Lineage: Bacteria
Description: partial 16S ribosomal RNA
Rfam family: Bacterial small subunit ribosomal RNA
Source: RNAcentral
UACGUAGGGCGCAAGCGUUGUCCGGAAUUAUUGGGCGUAAAGAGCUCGUAGGCGGUUUGUCGCGUCUGUCGUGAAAGCUUGGGGCUUAACCCCAAGUCUGCGGUGGAUACGGGCAGACUAGAGGCAGGUAGGGGAGAACGGAAUUCCCGGUGUAGCGGUGAAAUGCGCAGAUAUCAGGAGGAACACCGAUGGCGAAGGCAGAUCUCUGGGCCGUAACUGACGCUGAGGAGCGAAAGCAUGGGGAGCGAACAGG